UACAGAGGGGGCAAGCGUUGUUCGGAAUUACUGGGCGUAAAGGGCGCGUAGGCGGCCCGCUAAGUCGAACGUGAAAUCCCCAGGCUCAACCUGGGAACUGCGUCCGAUACUGGCAGGCUUGAAUCCGGGAGAGGGAUGUGGAAUUCCAGGUGUAGCGGUGAAAUGCGUAGACAUCUGGAGGAACACCGGUGGCGAAGGCGGCAUCCUGGACCGGUAUUGACGCUGAGGCGCGAAAGCUAGGGGAGCAAACGGG
Molecule: ribosomal RNA, 253 nt
Filed under: uncultured bacterium
Lineage: Bacteria
Description: partial 16S ribosomal RNA
Rfam family: Bacterial small subunit ribosomal RNA
Source: RNAcentral